AGAUUCUCUUGCACACACUUUAUUUAGCCACUCUCCUUUUUGACUACCAUAUUGAAGGAUGUGUUCAUUAAAAUUCCAGCGGGGAUCAAUCUAAUAGAGGAUUGUGGUUACUUCUCUCCCCUGUUGCAAAGCUUGCCCUACGUGAACUCUGGGAGAAUUUUACAGAAGUUGUCCACUCUUUCAGGAUGAGGAGGAGGGCAGAC
Pelobates cultripes (western spadefoot toad) is the source of this 203-nucleotide non-coding RNA. The record is from the annotation of a GenBank genome assembly. NCBI's taxonomy places the organism in Eukaryota, Metazoa, Chordata, Amphibia, Anura, Pelobatidae.